This 343-nucleotide unclassified non-coding RNA is filed under the name soil metagenome. RNAcentral describes it as "partial contains 5.8S ribosomal RNA, internal transcribed spacer 2, and large subunit ribosomal RNA". The stretch from base 1 to 120 matches the Rfam family "5.8S ribosomal RNA", at positions 35 to 154 of the family's 154-position model. The record is from RNAcentral.
GAUGAAGAACGCAGCGAAAUGAGAUAAGUAAUGUGAAUUGCAGAAUUCAGUGAAUCAUCGAAUCUUUGAACGCACAUUGCGCCCGCUAGUAUUCUGGCGGGCAUGCCUGUCCGAGCGUCAUUUCAACCCUCAAGCCCCCGGGCUUGGUGUUGGGGAUCGGCGAGCCUCCGCGCCCGCCGUCCCCUAAAUCUAGUGGCGGUCUCGCUGUAGCUUCCUCUGCGUAGUAGCACACCUCGCACUGGGAAACAGCGCGGCCACGCCGUUAAACCCCCAACUUCUGAACGUUUGACCUCGGAUCAGGCAGGAAUACCCGCUGAACUUAAGCAUAUCAAUAAGCGGAGGA